AAAAAAAACGUAAAGAUAGCACGAGUGACUAUCCUUUCGUCUGUUUCUUCUUCUUGUUCUUCGUUUUCUGCCACCUUUGGUCUCUUCUGUCUUUUUCCCGUUUGGUG
RNAcentral lists this non-coding RNA (107 nucleotides) under Chromera velia. The record is from RNAcentral. Lineage: Eukaryota; Chromeraceae.